RNAcentral lists this long non-coding RNA (1430 nucleotides) under Danio rerio (zebrafish). Its description in RNAcentral is "lncRNA (ENSDARG00000117678.1)". The record is from RNAcentral. Lineage: Eukaryota; Metazoa; Chordata; Actinopteri; Cypriniformes; Danionidae.
AUGGAGCACAGGCCGCCAGUGCUGUGGAUGGUGAGUCAGGGAAUAAAAAAAAAGAUCAGCCCAUCCUCCCCUUACGAGACACAACACCCAUCUUUAACAUAACCUCAUCAAACCUCCAGCAGCCGUGCCAACUAGCAAGGGAAAAAGCAUCCAGGCAUCCAGGACAAACACGAGUACAUGAGCAUCCUCAGGACUGUUUGCUGAGGCUGGGGAUUAAAAGGUUCCCUGAAGUCUUUGAGCCGUAAGAGCUCUGAGUACAUCCUGCCACAAGUACUUCUGUCAUCAAGGCAAUGUAACGCCACAAUCGGGCUUUCGCUUAAUCCUCUCACAGGUAAACGGCGGGACAUUUUGCCGGAGGAAUUUUUGCGCUCAAAGAGUCCUUAAACAGAAUGUGAAUAAGGUUUCGGUGACAGAGCUGUCUGGAGAAUGAAGCUCCUGGAAUAGGAAUCCAUCUUUUUUUUUUGUUGCUGGAACAAUGGCAGAAUGAAAGCGUAGAAUCCUGAAUUUCUUUACUGGAGGGAGGGCAACAUGGCAAAGCCCUUCUACAGGCUUCAGCGCUUCUUGCGACGGACUCAGCUGCUCUUCUUGUUUCUCGGUGUUGCUUACAUUAUGGCUGGAAGUGUCCUUCUUCUGCAGAGACAUGGACUGGUGGUAUCACAGCGUGGGAUGAGUAGUUAUUACCCAUUGCCAUCUUUGCCGUCUCCUCCCAGGGCCCUGGAGGCACCUGCCCUGCGGACGAGUUAUGGAAUAAUGGGUGCUCGGCUUGCUGGAAAGGGGGUGGGAUACCAAAGUGUUUUGUCCGAAGACAGCGAUGGGCCACAAUGGCUCAUCUCACGAAACCAGGAGAUCCGACAUCUGAGACGCCGCUGGUUCCACAGCCUCAUGUCAGAACAAGAAGCAUCCAGAGUGGAGAAAGUCCUUCCGAAGAGAAAGAUCAGACACAAAGGGACGUACUUGGGUUGCUUUCUGGAUGACGCCAAGGAGCGGGCGCUCAAAGGAAUGGUUUUUUAUGACUUCCGGAAAAUGACCAGCACAUUGUGUCAGGACACCUGCACGGAAAGGUAUGCCAAUAGCACACAAUAUUCUCAAAUACAGGCAGAUUUCGGUGUAAUCGUUGAGCCACCAAAAAGCAGAUGGACAUCUGUUGCCUUGAGGCUUCUCUGUGCUCGCCUUAAAUCAAGAAAUAAUGAAACAGUGUUUAGGGAAAAGAACAUGCAGUGUGCAUCCCUGUGCCAGCUGGCGGAGCUCAUGCUGGGAAUUGGAUCAUGCCCAAUUAAUGGAGCGCGGCUCUGAACCCAGAGCUGGAGGAGAAACAUCUAUCUGUCGUGAUGGAGGAGACACUUUCUCUAGUUCUUAGGCCGGUAGAUAAUUGACCACCCGAGAACAAGUGUGAGGCAGACUGACCUCCUGUAAUUACCCCCAACGUUUCA